UACGUAGGGCGCAAGCGUAUCCGGAAUUAUUGGGCGUAAAGAGCUCGUAGGCGGUUUUGUCGCGUCUGCCUGUGAAAACCUAAGGCUCAACCUUGGGCUUGCAGUGGGUACGGGCAGACUAGAGUGCGGUAGGGGUGACUGGAAUUCCUGGUGUAGCGGUGGAAUGCGCAGAUAUCAGGAGGAACACCGAUGGCGAAGGCAGGUCACUGGGCCGCAACUGACG
RNAcentral lists this ribosomal RNA (223 nucleotides) under uncultured bacterium. RNAcentral's name for it is "partial 16S ribosomal RNA". It matches the Rfam family "Bacterial small subunit ribosomal RNA", at positions 524 to 745 of the family's 1533-position model. The record is from RNAcentral.